This 73-nucleotide transfer RNA is filed under the name Cotesia glomerata. RNAcentral describes it as "tRNA-Thr". Lineage: Eukaryota; Metazoa; Arthropoda; Insecta; Hymenoptera; Braconidae. The record is from RNAcentral.
GUCUAAGAUAGCUUGACCGAUUGAGCCCUUGGCUAGUAAUCAAAUAGUCCGGGUUCGAGUCCCGGUCAGUACG